This 993-nucleotide long non-coding RNA is filed under the name Homo sapiens (human). RNAcentral describes it as "HSALNT0107504". Lineage: Eukaryota; Metazoa; Chordata; Mammalia; Primates; Hominidae. The record is from RNAcentral.
UUUUUGUGUUUUUUUUGAGACAGAUUCUUGUUUGUCGCCCAGGCUGGAGUGCAGUCGUGUGAUCUCUGCUCACUGCAACCUCCGCCUCCCGAGUUCAAAUGAUUCUCCCACCUCAGCCUCUCAAGUAGCUGGGAUUACAGAUGUGCACCACCACACCUUGCUAUUUUUUUUUUUUUGCAUUUUUAGUAGGGGUGGGGUUUCACCAUGUUGACCAGGCUGGUCUCGAACUCCUGACCUUAAGUGAUCCACCUGCCUCGGCCUUCCAAAGUGUUGGGAUUACAGGCGUGAGCAACCGCGCCUGACCUAAUAAGUCAAUUCUUAAACACCAAAAUGUUUGACUGAGCACAUGAAGAAGGUUUCUCUUAGAAAAGAAAAAGAAAUGUAAUAUGAUUACUUCGAUAAUCAGAUAAACAGUUCUGCUGCCUUUUCAAAAGCCAGCGUACAGUGAGCUCUGCUUCAUUUGUUCUCAAAUUAGCUACUUGCCUCUUGUUCAUCUCAGGAGACAACAAGAACCUAGGCAAUUGGAUGGGGUUGGGCUGAAGGAAGGACCAGGAGUUCUACAGGGCAAGGCACGCUGUGGAGGGAGGUCUGCUGAUACUUAGCUUGGUGGUAAAACUGGCAGUGAGCAUUACAGGUGGAGAGUGAGAAAACAGUGAAAGAAGAGCAAGAACAAAGAGGUGCUUCAAGAAUUUUGCUACCCAACUUCUCAUGCAUGGCCAUUGGCCUGGAUAAAAAUGAAGAUGCUGUGACCACUCUUCAGGGCUGGCUCCAGAAGGAAGAGGAGUGGCCAAGUAGCUAGUCUGUGCUAAUGGAUUGCUUAGAGCAACACAUUCUCACCACUGAAUAACUUGUUUUUCUUGUAAUUUCACCACGAGAAGUUUCACUUCCUCUUGAGAUGCCUACUAAAAUCACAUUUUCCUAGGAGUCAAGUAUUUACCUUGACGGGUUACUUUGGCUUCAUUUUUUAUAUAUGUUAGAAUAAAUAGUGCUGAA